RNAcentral lists this ribosomal RNA (498 nucleotides) under uncultured bacterium. RNAcentral's name for it is "partial 16S ribosomal RNA". It matches the Rfam family "Bacterial small subunit ribosomal RNA", at positions 28 to 523 of the family's 1533-position model. The record is from RNAcentral.
GAUGAACGCUAGCGGCAGGCCUAAUACAUGCAAGUCGGACGGGAUUUGGGAGCUUGCUUCCGAUGAGAGUGGCGCACGGGUGCGUAACACGUAAGUAACCUACCUUUGUCAGGGGGAUAGCCUCUCGAAAGAGCGAUUAAGACCGCAUAACAUUACAAUGUGGCAUCACAAAGUAAUCAAAUAAUUAAAGGACAAAGAUGGGCAUACGGAACAAUAGCUAGGUGGUACGGUAACGGCGUACCAAGGCUACGAUGUUUAGGGGAUCUGAGAGGAUGGCCCCCCACACUGGUACUGAGACACGGACCAGACUCCUACGGGAGGCAGCAGUAAGGAAUAUUGGUCAAUGGACGGAAGUCUGAACCAGCCAUGCCGCGUGCAGGAAGACGGCCCUACGGGUUGUAAACUGCUUUUGCAGGGGAAUAAACCCCGAUAUGUAUAUCGGGCUGAAUGUACUCUGAGAAUAAGGAUCGGCUAACUCCGUGCCAGCAGCCGCCGUAA